CGCUGUCGAUGACAGCCGCCAAUGUUUCCAGUAUCAGGAUGAUACGAGUGACCCGUGAGAAACGCCUUCGGGUGGUCACAACGCCAAAGUCAUAGGGAAUGGAGCGUGGUCUGAGACUGACGCCUGCGGGUGACCACAAACACUUCCGUAGCCUGCAAGGAAGAACACGCACAGUUGCGUUGUGA
Molecule: small RNA, 185 nt
Filed under: Dickeya solani
Lineage: Bacteria; Pseudomonadati; Pseudomonadota; Gammaproteobacteria; Enterobacterales; Pectobacteriaceae
Description: STAXI
Rfam family: STAXI RNA (bases 1-140)
Source: RNAcentral